This 207-nucleotide ribosomal RNA is filed under the name uncultured bacterium. RNAcentral describes it as "partial 16S ribosomal RNA". It matches the Rfam family "Bacterial small subunit ribosomal RNA", at positions 568 to 774 of the family's 1533-position model. The record is from RNAcentral.
UGCGUAGGCGGCGCCUUAAGUAAGAUGUGAAAUCCCCGGGCUUAACUUGGGAAGUGCAUCUUAAACUGGGGUGCUAGAGUGCAGGAGAGGGAAGCGGAAUUCCUAGUGUAGCGGUGAAAUGCGUAGAUAUUAGGAGGAACACCAGUGGCGAAGGCGGCUUUCUGGACUGUAACUGACGCUGAGGCACGAAAGCGUGGGGAGCAAACA